GAUGAAGAACGUAGCGAAAUGCGAUAAGUAAUGUGAAUUGCAGAAUUCAGUGAAUCAUCGAAUCUUUGAACGCACCUUGCGCUCCUUGGUACUCCGAGGAGCAUGCCUGUUUGAGUGUCAUUAAAUUCUCAACCAUUAUCAACUUUUGCUGAUAAUGGCUUGGAUGUGGGGGUCUAUUUUGCUGGCUUCUCAGAUAGUCAGCUCCCCUUAAAUGCAUUAGCCGGUGCCCCGCGUGGACUGUCUAUUGGUGUGAUAAUUAUCUACGCUAUGGACAUCUGCAAUCAUAUGGGUUUGCGCUGCUUCUAACAGUCUGUUGAUUCAGACAAUACAUGACAAUUUGACCUCAAAUCAGGUAGGACUACCCGCUGAACUUAAGCAUAUCAAUAAGCGGAGGA
This 395-nucleotide unclassified non-coding RNA is filed under the name soil metagenome. RNAcentral describes it as "partial contains 5.8S ribosomal RNA, internal transcribed spacer 2, and large subunit ribosomal RNA". The stretch from base 1 to 120 matches the Rfam family "5.8S ribosomal RNA", at positions 35 to 154 of the family's 154-position model. The record is from RNAcentral.